AGAGUUUGAUCCUGGCUCAGAUUGAACGCUGGCGGCAGGCCUAACACAUGCAAGUCGAGCGGAAACGAAGGGAGCUUGCUCCCAGGCGUCGAGCGGCGGACGGGUGAGUAAUGCAUAGGAAUCUGCCCGAUAGUGGGGGAUAACCUGGGGAAACCCAGGCUAAUACCGCAUACGUCCUACGGGAGAAAGCAGGGGCUCUUCGGACCUUGCGCUAUCGGAUGAGCCUAUGUCGGAUUAGCUGGUUGGUGAGGUAAUGGCUCACCAAGGCGACGAUCCGUAGCUGGUCUGAGAGGAUGAUCAGCCACAUCGGGACUGAGACACGGCCCGAACUCCUACGGGAGGCAGCAGUGGGGAAUAUUGGACAAUGGGCGAAAGCCUGAUCCAGCCAUGCCGCGUGUGUGAAGAAGGCCNUCGGGUUGUAAAGCACUUUCAGUGGGGAAGAANGCCUUGGGGCUAAUACCCUCGAGGAAGGACAUCACCCACAGAAGAAGCACCGGCUAACUCCGUGCCAGCAGCCGCGGUAAUACGGAGGGUGCGAGCGUUAAUCGGAAUUACUGGGCGUAAAGCGCGCGUAGGUGGCUUGAUAAGCCGGUUGUGAAAGCCCCGGGCUCAACCUGGGAACGGCAUCCGGAACUGUCAGGCUAGAGUGCAGGAGAGGAAGGUAGAAUUCCCGGUGUAGCGGUGAAAUGCGUAGAGAUCGGGAGGAAUACCAGUGGCGAAGGCGGCCUUCUGGACUGACACUGACACUGAGGUGCGAAAGCGUGGGUAGCAAACAGGAUUAGAUACCCUGGUAGUCCACGCCGUAAACGAUGUCGACUAGCCGUUGGGAGCCUCGAGUUCUUAGUGGCGCAGUUAACGCGAUAAGUCGACCGCCUGGGGAGUACGGCCGCAAGGUUAAAACUCAAAUGAAUUGACGGGGGCCCGCACAAGCGGUGGAGCAUGUGGUUUAAUUCGAUGCAACGCGAAGAACCUUACCUACCCUUGACAUCGUGCGAACUUGGUAGAGAUACCUUGGUGCCUUCGGGANCGCACAGACAGGUGCUGCAUGGCUGUCGUCAGCUCGUGUUGUGAAAUGUUGGGUUAAGUCCCGUAACGAGCGCAACCCUUGUCCCUAUUUGCCAGCGAUUCGGUCGGGAACUCUAGGGAGACUGCCGGUGACAAACCGGAGGAAGGUGGGGACGACGUCAAGUCAUCAUGGCCCUUACGGGUAGGGCUACACACGUGCUACAAUGGUCGGUACAAAGGGUUGCAAAGCGGCGACGUGGAGCUAAUCCCAGAAAGCUGAUCUCAGUCCGGAUCGGAGUCUGCAACUCGACUCCGUGAAGUCGGAAUCGCUAGUAAUCGUGAAUCAGAAUGUCACGGUGAAUACGUUCCCGGGCCUUGUACACACCGCCCGUCACACCAUGGGAGUGGACUGCACCAGAAGUGGUUAGCCUAACUUCGGAGGGCGAUCACCACGGUGUGGUUCAUGACUGGGGUGAAGUCGUAACAAGGUAACC
This 1499-nucleotide ribosomal RNA is filed under the name Halomonas sp. 3019. RNAcentral's name for it is "bacterial SSU rRNA". It matches the Rfam family "Bacterial small subunit ribosomal RNA". Lineage: Bacteria; Pseudomonadati; Pseudomonadota; Gammaproteobacteria; Oceanospirillales; Halomonadaceae. The record is from RNAcentral.